This 926-nucleotide ribosomal RNA is filed under the name uncultured Staphylococcus sp. RNAcentral's name for it is "bacterial SSU rRNA". It matches the Rfam family "Bacterial small subunit ribosomal RNA", at positions 60 to 969 of the family's 1533-position model. The record is from RNAcentral. Lineage: Bacteria; Bacillati; Bacillota; Bacilli; Caryophanales; Staphylococcaceae.
AGUCGAGCGACAGAUAAGGAGCUUGCUCCUUUGACGUUAGCGGCGGACGGGUGAGUAACACGUGGGUAACCUACCUAUAAGACUGGAAUAACUCCGGGAAACCGGGGCUAAUGCCGGAUAACAUUUAGAACCGCAUGGUUCUAAAGUGAAAGAUGGUUUUGCUAUCACUUAUAGAUGGACCCGCGCCGUAUUAGCUAGUUGGUAAGGUAACGGCUUACCAAGGCAACGAUACGUAGCCGACCUGAGAGGGUGAUCGGCCACACUGGAACUGAGACACGGUCCAGACUCCUACGGGAGGCAGCAGUAGGGAAUCUUCCGCAAUGGGCGAAAGCCUGACGGAGCAACGCCGCGUGAGUGAUGAAGGUCUUCGGAUCGUAAAACUCUGUUAUUAGGGAAGAACAAAUGUGUAAGUAACUAUGCACGUCUUGACGGUACCUAAUCAGAAAGCCACGGCUAACUACGUGCCAGCAGCCGCGGUAAUACGUAGGUGGCAAGCGUUAUCCGGAAUUAUUGGGCGUAAAGCGCGCGUAGGCGGUUUCUUAAGUCUGAUGUGAAAGCCCACGGCUCAACCGUGGAGGGUCAUUGGAAACUGGGAAACUUGAGUGCAGAAGAGGAAAGUGGAAUUCCAUGUGUAGCGGUGAAAUGCGCAGAGAUAUGGAGGAACACCAGUGGCGAAGGCGACUUUCUGGUCUGUAACUGACGCUGAUGUGCGAAAGCGUGGGGAUCAAACAGGAUUAGAUACCCUGGUAGUCCACGCCGUAAACGAUGAGUGCUAAGUGUUAGGGGGUUUCCGCCCCUUAGUGCUGCAGCUAACGCAUUAAGCACUCCGCCUGGGGAGUACGACCGCAAGGUUGAAACUCAAAGGAAUUGACGGGACCCGCACAAGCGGUGGAGCAUGUGGUUUAAUUCAAAGCAACGCGAAGAAC